Molecule: long non-coding RNA, 862 nt
Organism: Callithrix jacchus (white-tufted-ear marmoset)
Lineage: Eukaryota; Metazoa; Chordata; Mammalia; Primates; Cebidae
Source: RefSeq, a predicted model, not a curated record
CACCCUUCUGCUCUUUAAAAACUAUCGUCCAAUUCAUCUAUCAAAGACCAACCAAAAUUCCGUGAGAGUAAAGCCUUUGCUUAGCUUUCCAGUCCUGUUAAACGGUGAGAAACAAAAGGGUCCCCAUGAGCCUGCCCAACAAGACGCCACGAAGGCAGAAAACGCCAGGUGACCUCCAGGCAGACACUUCCGGAAGAAAUCGGCUCACGGAACCUGGAAGUGAAGACAGAAAACGCACAGCAUUCUGGGAAGAGUUACGGAGGCGGAAUUGUGUUUGCUGGCUGUUACCAGGACAACCGGAGGCGAUUGACCGUUAUCUGCGGUUUGGAGCCGUUAGGGAGAGGCGGAGAUGUUCAAAGGUCUUUUAGGAUGAGCUAAAGGGUCGUGAGGGCUCUCUUAAGAUUAUCUUAACAAGAGGUUAUCCAGUCGUGACCCGUGCCCCAGCCGCUGGACCAGGGGAUCUGAGUCGCCCUCUCGUUUUCCUGAGUCAGUCUUAAGGUGAAAUGAAGUGUGGCCCCGUGACUUCACUGUCGCUUUUCUAGUUUUCUGUCUUCUUUUAGAAAAUUGAAUUGAAAAGACAGGAUAAAGUGGACACAGCAUGUGAAGACAAUUCUUUCAAGAAGUUUGGCUGUCAAGGAAAAUAGAGAAUGUGCUAAAGACAUAUAGACACAGAGCAGACAGGCCACCCUUGCUACCACAUGGAGGUUUGUCUAAUAUUGAAGCUAAAGAAGCUAAGCCGGAAGACAGAGAGACCAAGUCCUGAUGAUGUUGUUUGAACCCAGAGAUACAGACAUGUCUGAAAACUAGUUUUACCACUGGACUUAUCAGUUAAAUGAGCCAAUAAACUCUCUUUCAUACUUAA